Long non-coding RNA from Papaver somniferum (opium poppy), 1304 nucleotides. RefSeq lists it as uncharacterized. The record is from RefSeq and is a predicted model, not a curated record. The transcript has 4 exons. NCBI's taxonomy places the organism in Eukaryota, Viridiplantae, Streptophyta, Magnoliopsida, Ranunculales, Papaveraceae.
GAGAAAUAACUCCCCAGUUCCUCCUCAACUCCCUCUCAUUCAUCUUCUUUCUUCGAUUAUGUUAAAAGAAAAGAAAACAAUCAACGUAAGUAAGAUGGGAAUCUUUCAAGUAAGAUGGGAUCUUUGCGGAGUUGGUUCUUAAUUUGAUUUUCUGCAUCUAGGGUUUAAAGCGGUACUGAUUCAUUUUGUAUGAAUUAACAUAAGUGUACAUCGGUCUUCAAUUUUCCUAUACUACUUAAUAGUUUUAUCCUUUAAUUCGAACUAUUUUCUGAUAUUGGAUCAGAUUUGGAUUAAGAAAAUCCACAAAUUAUUCCUUCAAUUGUUUACUUUGAAACCCUGAAUACCAUUAAAAUCAAAUCAAAACUGAACGAUAUAUUAUAUGUUUCCUCAACCUUGAUAAUGAAAAGAUAUUUUAACAAACACUAGGGAUUAAAAUCUCAUACGGAAUUUCGGAAUUGAUGGAGUUGAUUUUAGAAGAUAGAAGAUGAACAUCCUAAAGGUUGAUGGGAUGAAUUUUCUAAAAGGAUUACUGGGAAAGCGAAGAUGGUAUAAAGACAAAGGGUGCAUCUUUUGAAGCAGUACUCUCCACUAGACUCGGAAAACACUAAAUCAAUUCAAAUCAAUGUCGAAAGGAAACUCGUUGGUGAAAAUAUCAAGGUUUGGUUUCCUGAUUAUUAAGCACAAGAGUAAAUAGAUUGUGGUUAUGAGAUUGUGCGAAAUGUAAUAGUUAUAUUCGUGGAUAUAUAACCAUGCAUUCCGCACUUGAUACACUCCUCAUGUGUCACCUGAAUCAAAUCAACUUUCAUAGUUAAUAUUGGCAUGUGAAACUCUAGCUUCCCAGUACAUCCACCAGUUUCCCCUAUCUCAUCACUGGCGACGCUCUCCAUCUUUCGGAUCGAUUUGGCUACCUCAAAACUACAAGAUUCUCCAGUGCAGACGUCUGUAAUGCAAUCGUCUUCGUUUUGAUCACAUUAUAUAUUGGGUAAGAUGGUGUCUGAAGUUCUUACUGACUGCCGCUGGCACUGACUUUGUGAGAUUAUUUGUUGUCUUGCGGAUGUUUAUCUUGGCGGGCUGAAAUUGUGAAGUGAAGUUGUCAUCCACUUCUCACGCAUAUGCUACAUGAAGAUUUUAGAAUACCCCAUUUAAUUCUCUAUUAAAGGUUAAAGUGGGAUGCGAAGAUAUCUCAUAAGCUGUUAGAGUCCAGGAGAAACCAGUUCAUGUCGGUAAUGUUUUUUUUAUCUUGUUUCAAUAUCGUGAACUGAUAAUUGUAUUAUUUGACUCAAAAGCUCAGUUGUAAUUGAAUC